RNAcentral lists this unclassified non-coding RNA (257 nucleotides) under Hevea brasiliensis (rubber tree). Lineage: Eukaryota; Viridiplantae; Streptophyta; Magnoliopsida; Malpighiales; Euphorbiaceae. The record is from RNAcentral.
UUAAUUCAAAAAGUAGAUCUUUCCCGCGGACUAUCAACUAUGCAGCUGACUUGUCAGUUGCCUAGGGCAGGGUUCUUAUACUUCUGCCGUAUUGAAGUUCUAUCAAUUUUGAUUUGGCCUUAGAGAUACAUUUUGUCAGAGAUCUCUCAUCUUUUCCUGUCGCAAGCUUGUAUUUUUAUUUAUCUCCAACAUUCUCUAUGGUUUGUAAUUUGCAAAGUGUUCGGUCAUUUUCAGGCAAACUAGUGAUCCUCGAAGUG